AAAUGAAUUGACGGGGGCCCGCACAAGCGGAGGAACAUGUGGUUUAAUUCGAUGAUACGCGAGGAACCUUACCCGGGCUUGAAAUGCACCUGACUUCCCCAGAGACGGGGAUUCCCUUUCAGGGCAGGUGCGUAGGUGCUGCAUGGUUGUCGUCAGCUCGUGCCGUGAGGUGUCGGCUUAAGUGCCAUAACGAGCGCAACCCUCAUCGUUAGUUACCAUCAGGUUAUGCUGGGGACUCUAGCGAGACUGCCAUCGUAAGAUGCGAGGAAGGUGGGGAUGACGUCAAAUCAGCACGGCCCUUACGUCCGGGGCGACACACGUGUUACAAUGGGUGGUACAAAGGGCAGCUACAUGGCGACAUGAUGCUAAUCUCCAAACCCACUCUCAGUUCGGAUCGGAGUCUGCAACUCGACUUCGUGAAGCUGGAUUCGCUAGUAAUCGCGCAUCAGCCACGGCGCGGUGAAUACGUUCCCGGGCCUUGUACACACCGCCCGU
RNAcentral lists this ribosomal RNA (495 nucleotides) under uncultured bacterium. RNAcentral's name for it is "bacterial SSU rRNA". It matches the Rfam family "Bacterial small subunit ribosomal RNA", at positions 903 to 1397 of the family's 1533-position model. The record is from RNAcentral.